Molecule: ribosomal RNA, 497 nt
Filed under: uncultured bacterium
Lineage: Bacteria
Description: partial 16S ribosomal RNA
Rfam family: Bacterial small subunit ribosomal RNA
Source: RNAcentral
GACGAACGCUGGCGGCGUGCCUAAUACAUGCAAGUUGAGCGAUGAAGAUUGGUGCUUGCACCAAUUUGAAGAGCAGCGAACGGGUGAGUAACGCGUGGGGAAUCUGCCUUUGAGCGGGGGACAACAUUUGGAAACGAAUGCUAAUACCGCAUAAUAACUUUAAACAUAAGUUUUAAGUUUGAAAGAUGCAAUUGCAUCACUCAAAGAUGAUCCCGCGUUGCAUUAGCUAGUUGGUGAGGUAAAGGCUCACCAAGGCGAUGAUACAUAGCCGACCUGAGAGGGUGAUCGGCCACAUUGGGACUGAGACACGGCCCAAACUCCUACGGGAGGCAGCAGUAGGGAAUCUUCGGCAAUGGACGAAAGUCUGACCGAGCAACGCCGCGUGAGUGAAGAAGGUUUUCGGAUCGUAAAACUCUGUAGGUAGAGAAGAACGUUGGUGAGAGUGGAAAGCUCAUCAAGUGACGGUAACUACCCAGAAAGGGACGGCUAACUACGUG